GCAAGACUCCUUACUAAACGAAGGAGGGCAGAGGAGUGCCGUUUUGGAAAUAUCAAGGGGAAUGAAAAGAGAAAGAGAAUUGACGGGAGAGAGAGGAAUCUGCCCACACUCAGGGGAUCAUCCAGAAUUCACAGAUGAACAGGGUGCACUCAAGGAAGACUGCCCCUCCAUCAGAGCACCACCCCUCAGUGACUGCUGACGUGUAAGACACUUCCAGCAUCUUUUUACCAGGCCCCACCCUUGGGGAUGCCCAGACCAAGAUAUCACUCUUUGCACUAAGUGACUCCUGAGAUACCAGCCCUUUACCUGACUUACAUUCUGUCAUCCUGCAUCAGAAUUGUUUCGAAUUUUUAGAGGUAUUGUGUUAUAAUGGUGUUCAAUGAAGUUGGAAGAAUUCUGGCUCUGCUGCUUAGAAACUGAAUGCAAGUUCCCUGACCACAGAGGUUGGGUCUUUUAAAGAACCUACUGUGUGCUGAGCGCUGUUGUAAGCACUGAGAAAUAAAGAACAAGAGAGGCGAAGUCCCUGAUGUCUCGGAGUUUAUGGUCUUAUGCGGUUCCUAAAAAUGAAGGUUAAAAGAAACUUGAACUGGAUUCCAUUUUAUCACACGCCUGGAAUGCUGAAAAUGCUGUGGCAAAGUCAUCCAUUCAUUCAUCUAAGUGAAAAGCCUAUAAAAUCAUAGGCAUCUUCAGCCAUAUCCUUAAAUUUCACCAUUUUACGUUUCACCAAAGUUAUAUUGGCAUUAUCUUUUGUGCUGGAAACAAAGUUAAUUGUCUUCUGCAGGAUACUUAAAAUAAAAUGGGCAAUCUCAGUUUAUUUUAUGAUAUUUAAGAGGCUAAAAUGAGCUUGUUCCACAAAUAGCCUUCCUAGUAAAUCCUGGGAAGUCAUGAGAGGGCUGUGUGACGGUAGCACACACCUACAGUAGAUGGCAUUGUGCAUUUGGCUUGGCCACAGCAAGUGUUUACUAAACUAGGGGUGGGUUGUCACAACAGACUCCAAGGUCAUGCAGAAAAUUAAUAUCAAUAAUUAAUAUCUUUGUAUGGUUUUACAUGGUACUUCACGUUUUUAGAUGAUUUAUAAUUAGUUAUCAUCCAUCCUUGAUAUGUUAUUGCCAUAAUUCAGGACCUCCAUAUCUCUUACCUGGACUACUUCUAAAUAGGUUCUCAUCUCACUCCAGCCCAUCCUCACCAUCACAUGUUCUCUUGACAAUGCAUCUUGGAGCCUGUCACUCCUGUUAUUUAUCUAUAGAAUGUUCUAUCUCUUGUUUCUUGGUUCUCACCUCCUACUACCUUCCCACAUUCACUGCUUAACACAGCCACAUGGAGUUUUGUGCCAUUCUCCAAACAUACUGUUUGGUUCUAAGCUCUGUUUCUUCACUGUUCUUCAUGAGUAUCUUCAAAGUCUCUGCCUUGCCUGACUGGCAAGCUCUCACAAGAACUGGGAAAUCAAGCCACAACUUUAUCUCUUCUGUGGAAGCCUUUUGGGAAAGUUCCAGGGUUGGCCUUUCUAUCUUUUGUGUUAUCUUAACCUUUGUACAUACUUUUAUUGUCAUUCUUAUCACCAUUGUCUCUUUCCAAAUCUGGGUUCCCCUCUCUCCACUAUCACCCCCAAAUAGAAAUUGAGUUCCUCCAGGGAAGAUACUCUUUCACAGUCAUCUUGGUAUCCCCAGAAUCUGGCAAGUGUUCAAUUAAAGAAACUGAUGAGCUCAAUUGAUUAUUAAAAGAACUUUUGUUCCUGUUUGAGGUAGAGAAAGUAGAAUACAACAAAGCAGAAACAAUGUUAUUUCACCUAAAUCAGAGGUGAGAAAUCUAUUUUACUGUGAGCCAAUUAUGAAAAUUUAAAGAUGCUCACUGGUUAUAUUUUUAAAUUAUUUAAAACAAAAAUAUUUCUACUGAAUGAAAGAAUUUCAAUGUGAAAAUAGGCACUUCCUGUUAUAGGCACUAAACUGUUAAAAUGUGAGCAGAUGUGAGAAGCAGCAGCACAGAGAUGGUUUUCUGAGCUUUGAUCAAAGCUUAGAAGUGGCAGAUUGCUCUUCAUCAACCAGGAUCAUUUAUUCUUGGCACCAAGUCUUGGCACUUAGAUUACAGAGGAUCAGAGGACCACAUGGUCCUUGUUCCUUAGGGAGGCCUUUCUUCAAAGGUUGACUUUCUUUGCCAUCCUCUCUCUGCAAGGGGUCUCUCUGGCCUCUCUAACUUAGUGGAUUUUUCCUUCCCCCCUCCCUCCACUUUUGUGAGUCAGGUGUUAGAGUUAAUACUUAGCAAAGAAAAUAUAUACACAUAUUAAAGUUGAUCAUUAGCAGCCUCAUAUAAAUAACACCCUGGGGAAAAUGCCUAAAUCUAUGAAUAGUUGCUUAUAAACUAUGAUUCACAGGGUCUCAAGGGGUUAUGUAGCAAUUUGGGAGACUGGUUGGAUGGGGCAUGUUUUGACUAUUCCAUCACCUACAGGUCUUGAGCGUUCCUGAAGUCUUCUCAUGGUACUAGGCCAUAUGUGACACAUAAGCAUUCAAGUUGUGUCUACAGGACAUCAAAAUAGCUAUCUAAUUGGACUAAA
Molecule: long non-coding RNA, 2548 nt
Filed under: Homo sapiens (human)
Lineage: Eukaryota; Metazoa; Chordata; Mammalia; Primates; Hominidae
Description: HSALNT0062169
Source: RNAcentral